UUUAUAUUCCCUUCGUCCGAAAAUACUUGUCAUCAAAAUAGGCAAAAAUGGAUGUAUUUAGAACUAAAAUACAUCUACAUACAUCCCUUUUUAUUCAUUUUGAUUACAAGUAUUUCCAGACGGAUGGAGUAUUAG
This is a non-coding RNA of Triticum urartu, 135 nucleotides long. Lineage: Eukaryota; Viridiplantae; Streptophyta; Magnoliopsida; Poales; Poaceae. The record is from Rfam.